Chloebia gouldiae (Gouldian finch) is the source of this 1677-nucleotide long non-coding RNA. The record is from Ensembl. Lineage: Eukaryota; Metazoa; Chordata; Aves; Passeriformes; Passeridae.
AGAUAAUCUGUGUUUAUCAUGGAUAACCAGGUGCAAUAACACAUCAAAACUCAAUUAAACAUUGACCUACAGCAACAAUUGCUACAGAAGUGACAUUUAUUGAUAUUCUGCUGUAUUUACAGGUUGAACAUUGUAAAACUCCAAAGUGAAUGACCACUUGGCAGAAAGCACAGGAGUGCACAUUAAAUCUACAUUUCCAAUGCAUCAGAGUCUCUGCUAACACAAAUUAUAAAAGCAAGAAUUACAGGUAUGUUAGGAAUUGUCUCAAAAGUCGUAAGCCAAAGAAAAAAAAAGGCCUUUGUUUUGCAAGAUGGUUUUUAUACAAAGUUGCAACAUGAUCUUUUAGUUUUACACUACAGACCUGUUCCGUGAAAACCCCUGGGGAGCCCAAAAAGUUGGUGUGCGAAAGGAAAGGAUACUACAACACCGAGAGUAAAGACUGUUAAAAGUUAAUACUUGUGCCACUUCUAAAUUCCCAAUGACACCUCGGAGCCUGGACUGCAGCCACCCCUUUUCCUCCACAGGCCCCUGGGGGACUGCAGGAGCACAGCCACCCUGCUGACACACCUUCAGAGGUGCUGUCACCUCAGCUCCAGAGUCACCCUGCGUGCCAGACAGGACAGGGGGACAGGGAUGGACUGGGAUGGACAGCAGGACACGGGGGNNNNNNNNNNUGGGUUGUACAGGACACGAUGCACACAGGCUGGACAGGAUGUGGCACGUGGGGACUGUACAGGACAUGGGCUUACAUGGGCUGUGCAGGACACAGAGCACACACUGUGCAGGACAGGCUGUCACAGACUGUGCAGGACAGGCUGUCACACACUGCACACACAGGGUGUCACACACUGCACACACAGGGUGUCACACACACUGCACAGGCUGUCACACUGCACAGGGUGUCACACUCUGCCCAGCACAGGCAGAGCCCGGGCAGCUCCCAGGCUGGAGGAGGAACUAAAGCAAGCCUGGCCCCUGCUGGUCCCGGGACGGCUCCUGCUGCCCAAACACCACAAACUCCGGCUGAACGGCUCCAUCAGCACUCACUGCAAGAGCUGCUUCAAACAUUAGCCACUAAUGAGUCAACAAUUACAGAAUUCUGCGUUAAUUAUUAAAAUUUUACACCUAAAAACAAAUUGAAAGAAAUGCUUCUCCUUUUUUUUUUUUUUUACUUUUUCCAACAGUACUUUUAUUUAUUUAUUUUAAAGCAGGUGAUUAUUUUUUCUUCUGCUCCAGAGCCUUGAUUCACUUCCUGCAGGUGUCCUGCUGCUUCUUGGGGGGGAUUUCACUAAUGCAGGAAGACAUUUGCCAGAAAACAUCUGUUGGAGAAGGAUAUUGAACACCGACACUGCAGUCAGAGGGUUAUUUUGGAUAACAGGAGGAUGUUGUUCACACAGCACAGGAUGUCUAAGGGCUUAUGAAGUGUCUCAGCACACAAUGAUGUGACUCCAGCAAAAUGCUCAGGAAUCUGUGCGUAUUUUAUGGGAUAACACCAGGAUUGUGUCCAUUACUGCACAGAAAGCUGGAAUACUAAAUACUAAUACUAAACUCCAGCUUUUCGCCAGAUUCAUUUCACCAGGUUGCAUUUUCUUGUUUGCACUCAUUAUUGCUCUCCUAAUUUUCUAAAAAUUAUCCCUGCUCUGAAAUAAAAACUAAUCCUUCACUGUGCCCUUUGCA